Molecule: ribosomal RNA, 294 nt
Filed under: uncultured bacterium
Lineage: Bacteria
Description: partial 16S ribosomal RNA
Rfam family: Bacterial small subunit ribosomal RNA
Source: RNAcentral
GGAUUAGAUACCCUGGUAGUCCACGCCGUAAACGAUGAGUGCUAGGUGUUGGAUCCUUUCCGGGAUUCAGUGCCGCAGCUAACGCAUUAAGCACUCCGCCUGGGGAGUACGACCGCAAGGUUGAAACUCAAAGGAAUUGACGGGGGCCCGCACAAGCGGUGGAGCAUGUGGUUUAAUUCGAAGCAACGCGAAGAACCUUACCAGGUCUUGACAUCCCGAUGCUAUUUCUAGAGAUAGAAAGUUACUUCGGUACAUCGGUGACAGGUGGUGCAUGGUUGUCGUCAGCUCGUGUUG